Molecule: ribosomal RNA, 1589 nt
Filed under: Salmonella enterica subsp. enterica serovar Choleraesuis
Lineage: Bacteria; Pseudomonadati; Pseudomonadota; Gammaproteobacteria; Enterobacterales; Enterobacteriaceae
Description: partial 23S ribosomal RNA
Rfam family: Bacterial large subunit ribosomal RNA
Source: RNAcentral
CGGGGCAGGGUGAGUCGACCCCUAAGGCGAGGCCGAAAGGCGUAGUCGAUGGGAAACGGGUUAAUAUUCCCGUACUUGGUGUUACUGCGAAGGGGGGACGGAGAAGGCUAUGUUGGCCGGGCGACGGUUGUCCCGGUUUAAGCGUGUAGGUGUGUGUUCCAGGUAAAUCCGGUUCACUUUAACACUGAGGCGUGAUGACGAGGCACUACGGUGCUGAAGCAACAAAUGCCCUGCUUCCAGGAAAAGCCUCUAAGCAUCAGGUAACAUCAAAUCGUACCCCAAACCGACACAGGUGGUCAGGUAGAGAAUACCAAGGCGCUUGAGAGAACUCGGGUGAAGGAACUAGGCAAAAUGGUGCCGUAACUUCGGGAGAAGGCACGCUGACACGUAGGUGAAGUGAUUUACUCAUGGAGCUGAAGUCAGUCGAAGAUACCAGCUGGCUGCAACUGUUUAUUAAAAACACAGCACUGUGCAAACACGAAAGUGGACGUAUACGGUGUGACGCCUGCCCGGUGCCGGAAGGUUAAUUGAUGGGGUCAGCGCAAGCGAAGCUCCUGAUCGAAGCCCCGGUAAACGGCGGCCGUAACUAUAACGGUCCUAAGGUAGCGAAAUUCCUUGUCGGGUAAGUUCCGACCUGCACGAAUGGCGUAAUGAUGGCCAGGCUGUCUCCACCCGAGACUCAGUGAAAUUGAACUCGCUGUGAAGAUGCAGUGUACCCGCGGCAAGACGGAAAGACCCCGUGAACCUUUACUAUAGCUUGACACUGAACAUUGAGCCUUGAUGUGUAGGAUAGGUGGGAGGCUUUGAAGCGUGGACGCCAGUCUGCAUGGAGCCGGCCUUGAAAUACCACCCUUUAAUGUUUGAUGUUCUAACGUGGACCCGUGAUCCGGGUUGCGGACAGUGUCUGGUGGGUAGUUUGACUGGGGCGGUCUCCUCCUAAAGAGUAACGGAGGAGCACGAAGGUUGGCUAAUCCUGGUCGGACAUCAGGAGGUUAGUGCAAUGGCAUAAGCCAGCUUGACUGCGAGCGUGACGGCGCGAGCAGGUGCGAAAGCAGGUCAUAGUGAUCCGGUGGUUCUGAAUGGAAGGGCCAUCGCUCAACGGAUAAAAGGUACUCCGGGGAUAACAGGCUGAUACCGCCCAAGAGUUCAUAUCGACGGCGGUGUUUGGCACCUCGAUGUCGGCUCAUCACAUCCUGGGGCUGAAGUAGGUCCCAAGGGUAUGGCUGUUCGCCAUUUAAAGUGGUACGCGAGCUGGGUUUAGAACGUCGUGAGACAGUUCGGUCCCUAUCUGCCGUGGGCGCUGGAGAACUGAGGGGGGCUGCUCCUAGUACGAGAGGACCGGAGUGGACGCAUCACUGGUGUUCGGGUUGUCAUGCCAAUGGCACUGCCCGGUAGCUAAAUGCGGAAGAGAUAAGUGCUGAAAGCAUCUAAGCACGAAACUUGCCCCGAGAUGAGUUCUCCCUGAGACUUAGAGUCUCCUGAAGGAACGUUGAAGACGACGACGUUGAUAGGCCGGGUGUGUAAGCGCAGCGAUGCGUUGAGCUAACCGGUACUAAUGAACCGUGAGGCUUAACCUUACAACGCCGAAG